RNAcentral lists this microRNA (21 nucleotides) under Schistosoma japonicum. RNAcentral's name for it is "miRNA-3015". Lineage: Eukaryota; Metazoa; Platyhelminthes; Trematoda; Strigeidida; Schistosomatidae. The record is from RNAcentral.
AGAAGACUGCCGCUCGUUUUA